CCUUUGUACACACCGCCCGUCGCUACUACCGAUUGAAUGGCUUAGUGAGGCUUUCGGACUGGCCCGCGGAUGUCGGAAACGAUGACUGCGGGCCGGAAAGUUAGUCAAACUUGGUCAUUUAGAGG
RNAcentral lists this ribosomal RNA (125 nucleotides) under Pezizales sp. RNAcentral describes it as "partial small subunit ribosomal RNA". It matches the Rfam family "Eukaryotic small subunit ribosomal RNA", at positions 1657 to 1779 of the family's 1831-position model. The record is from RNAcentral. Lineage: Eukaryota; Fungi; Ascomycota; Pezizomycetes; Pezizales.